RNAcentral lists this ribosomal RNA (2773 nucleotides) under Escherichia coli. RNAcentral's name for it is "bacterial LSU rRNA". It matches the Rfam family "Bacterial large subunit ribosomal RNA". Lineage: Bacteria; Pseudomonadati; Pseudomonadota; Gammaproteobacteria; Enterobacterales; Enterobacteriaceae. The record is from RNAcentral.
AGCGUACACGGUGGAUGCCCUGGCAGUCAGAGGCGAUGAAGGACGUGCUAAUCUGCGAUAAGCGUCGGUGAGGUGAUAUGAACCGUUAUAACCGGCGAUUUCCGAAUGGGGAAACCCAGUGUGUUUCGUCACACUAUCAUUAACUGAAUCCAUAGGUUAAUGAGGCGAACCGGGGGAACUGAAACAUCUAAGUACCCCGAGGAAAAGAAAUCAACCGAGAUUCCCCCAGUAGCGGCGAGCGAACGGGGAGGAGCCCAGAGCCUGAAUCAGUGUGUGUGUUAGUGGAAGCGUCUGGAAAGGCGCGCGAUACAGGGUGACAGCCCCGUACACAAAAAUGCACAUACUGUGAGCUCGAUGAGUAGGGCGGGACACGUGGUAUCCUGUCUGAAUAUGGGGGGACCAUCCUCCAAGGCUAAAUACUCCUGACUGACCGAUAGUGAACCAGUACCGUGAGGGAAAGGCGAAAAGAACCCCGGCGAGGGGAGUGAAAAAGAACCUGAAACCGUGUACGUACAAGCAGUGGGAGCCUCUUAAUGGGGUGACUGCGUACCUUUUGUAUAAUGGGUCAGCGACUUAUAUUCUGUAGCAAGGUUAACCGAAUAGGGGAGCCGAAGGGAAACCGAGUCUUAACUGGGCGUUAAGUUGCAGGGUAUAGACCCGAAACCCGGUGAUCUAGCCAUGGGCAGGUUGAAGGUUGGGUAACACUAACUGGAGGACCGAACCGACUAAUGUUGAAAAAUUAGCGGAUGACUUGUGGCUGGGGGUGAAAGGCCAAUCAAACCGGGAGAUAGCUGGUUCUCCCCGAAAGCUAUUUAGGUAGCGCCUCGUGAAUUCAUCUCCGGGGGUAGAGCACUGUUUCGGCAAGGGGGUCAUCCCGACUUACCAACCCGAUGCAAACUGCGAAUACCGGAGAAUGUUAUCACGGGAGACACACGGCGGGUGCUAACGUCCGUCGUGAAGAGGGAAACAACCCAGACCGCCAGCUAAGGUCCCAAAGUCAUGGUUAAGUGGGAAACGAUGUGGGAAGGCCCAGACAGCCAGGAUGUUGGCUUAGAAGCAGCCAUCAUUUAAAGAAAGCGUAAUAGCUCACUGGUCGAGUCGGCCUGCGCGGAAGAUGUAACGGGGCUAAACCAUGCACCGAAGCUGCGGCAGCGACACUAUGUGUUGUUGGGUAGGGGAGCGUUCUGUAAGCCUGUGAAGGUGUACUGUGAGGUAUGCUGGAGGUAUCAGAAGUGCGAAUGCUGACAUAAGUAACGAUAAAGCGGGUGAAAAGCCCGCUCGCCGGAAGACCAAGGGUUCCUGUCCAACGUUAAUCGGGGCAGGGUGAGUCGACCCCUAAGGCGAGGCCGAAAGGCGUAGUCGAUGGGAAACAGGUUAAUAUUCCUGUACUUGGUGUUACUGCGAAGGGGGGACGGAGAAGGCUAUGUUGGCCGGGCGACGGUUGUCCCGGUUUAAGCGUGUAGGCUGGUUUUCCAGGCAAAUCCGGAAAAUCAAGGCUGAGGCGUGAUGACGAGGCACUACGGUGCUGAAGUGACAAAUGCCCUGCUUCCAGGAAAAGCCUCUAAGCAUCAGGUAACAUUAAAUCGUACCCCAAACCGACACAGGUGGUCAGGUAGAGAAUACCAAGGCGCUUGAGAGAACUCGGGUGAAGGAACUAGGCAAAAUGGUGCCGUAACUUCGGGAGAAGGCACGCUGAUAUGUAGGUGAAGCGACUUGCUCGUGGAGCUGAAAUCAGUCGAAGAUACCAGCUGGCUGCAACUGUUUAUUAAAAACACAGCACUGUGCAAACACGAAAGUGGACGUAUACGGUGUGACGCCUGCCCGGUGCCGGAAGGUUAAUUGAUGGGGUUAGCGGCAACGCGAAGCUCUUGAUCGAAGCCCCGGUAAACGGCGGCCGUAACUAUAACGGUCCUAAGGUAGCGAAAUUCCUUGUCGGGUAAGUUCCGACCUGCACGAAUGGCGUAAUGAUGGCCAGGCUGUCUCCACCCGAGACUCAGUGAAAUUGAACUCGCUGUGAAGAUGCAGUGUACCCGCGGCAAGACGGAAAGACCCCGUGAACCUUUACUAUAGCUUGACACUGAACAUUGAGCCUUGAUGUGUAGGAUAGGUGGGAGGCUUUGAAGUGUGGACGCCAGUCUGCAUGGAGCCGACCUUGAAAUACCACCCUUUAAUGUUUGAUGUUCUAACGUGGGCCCGUAAUCCGGGUUGCGGACAGUGUCUGGUGGGUAGUUUGACUGGGGCGGUCUCCUCCUAAAGAGUAACGGAGGAGCACGAAGGUUGGCUAAUCCUGGUCGGACAUCAGGAGGUUAGUGCAAUGGCAUAAGCCAGCUUGACUGCGAGCGUGACGGCGCGAGCAGGUGCGAAAGCAGGUCAUAGUGAUCCGGUGGUUCUGAAUGGAAGGGCCAUCGCUCAACGGAUAAAAGGUACUCCGGGGAUAACAGGCUGAUACCGCCCAAGAGUUCAUAUCGACGGCGGUGUUUGGCACCUCGAUGUCGGCUCAUCACAUCCUGGGGCUGAAGUAGGUCCCAAGGGUAUGGCUGUUCGCCAUUUAAAGUGGUACGCGAGCUGGGUUUAGAACGUCGUGAGACAGUUCGGUCCCUAUCUGCCGUGGGCGCUGGAGAACUGAGGGGGGCUGCUCCUAGUACGAGAGGACCGGAGUGGACGCAUCACUGGUGUUCGGGUUGUCAUGCCAAUGGCACUGCCCGGUAGCUAAAUGCGGAAGAGAUAAGUGCUGAAAGCAUCUAAGCACGAAACUUGCCCCGAGAUGAGUUCU